This 253-nucleotide ribosomal RNA is filed under the name uncultured bacterium. Its description in RNAcentral is "partial 16S ribosomal RNA". It matches the Rfam family "Bacterial small subunit ribosomal RNA", at positions 524 to 776 of the family's 1533-position model. The record is from RNAcentral.
UACGGGGGGGGCAAGCGUUGUUCGGAAUUACUGGGCGUAAAGGGCGCGUAGGCGGCCUGGGAAGUUCUGGGUGAAAGCCCCCGGCUCAACCGGGGAAGUGCCUGGAAAACCACUGGGCUUGAGUGCUGGAGAGGAAAGCAGAAUUCCUGGUGUAGCGGUGAAAUGCGUAGAGAUCAGGAGGAAUACCUGCGGCGAAGGCGGCUUUCUGGACAGACACUGACGCUGAGGCGCGAAAGCCAGGGGAGCAAACAGG